GGUAACCACGUGACUGCAAAGUAUGAAUUGCGAUUGGUCAAUGAAACGCUACCAGCAACGCGUUCUUGUGUCAUGAUGGGAACGCCCAAGCCGCAGCUGGACGCUUCUCACAAGGACAAGAACCCUCCCCUGUCGUCCCAGCCUUUUAACAGUGGCGGAAAAUGAAGGCAUUGACGAGGAAAUUCUUUACCUUCUUGAUGAUCCAGAAAUUGAUAGCUUGAUCCCCAGAGUGGGACACAGGGCGAAAUUUAAGAAUAAACUCAAGUUGUUAAAGG
Long non-coding RNA from Dicentrarchus labrax (European seabass), 275 nucleotides. RefSeq lists it as uncharacterized. The transcript has 2 exons. NCBI's taxonomy places the organism in Eukaryota, Metazoa, Chordata, Actinopteri, Moronidae. The record is from RefSeq and is a predicted model, not a curated record.